UGCUUGUGAUCCAUGCCACUGUCAUAGAUGAAGUGAGGUAAAUUACAUUCGCAUUGUGACCUAGUUUGCUAUGUACAUGUAUCUGGUAUAAUAAGCACUAUGAUAUCACAGCCAUCUGUCUGAUCAAUGAGACAUCUACUAAGUGACCAAUGUGCAGGUUUCCAAUGCCUGGGGAAGAGGCUGAGUCCACAGUCAAAGGCUGGUGAAUAGCCACAGGCUUAGAUGUUGGCAAGGUUUCACGGUUUUGCUGUCUCCACAAAAAGAGCACCACCACCAACAAAAACCCUAUUCUUGAAAAACCACCUAUAGAGAGACAUGUUACAAAGAAGAAGUCCUGCAGUGCUUUACCA
Molecule: long non-coding RNA, 350 nt
Filed under: Fukomys damarensis (Damara mole-rat)
Lineage: Eukaryota; Metazoa; Chordata; Mammalia; Rodentia; Bathyergidae
Description: lncRNA (ENSFDAG00000021991.1)
Source: RNAcentral